Molecule: non-coding RNA, 779 nt
Organism: Cricetulus griseus (Chinese hamster)
Lineage: Eukaryota; Metazoa; Chordata; Mammalia; Rodentia; Cricetidae
Source: RefSeq, a predicted model, not a curated record
CGGAGCUUGGCAUCCUCAGUGGCCUGGAGCUCAUCCUCCAGCUCUUCCAGCUGGGUCCUCAUUUCUUCCACCUGCUGCUCCAAGGCCCGCUUGGAUUUCUCAAGCUCGUGGACCUAAGACACAGAAAGCAUCAGAACUGGGUUGUGUCUACUCUGGCUAGCCUCUUCGUGGUUAUGGAGCUGGUAUGCAGAAGGCCCAGCAGGACUACGGUGGUCUUCUAUCAUCCACAGUGUGGUCAGAUGGCCCACACCCAACGCAGAUGACACCUGCUCUUUAUUUACAGUAGGUUUCAUACUUUUCAAAACCAACAAAAGGAUGGAAGCUGGGAGAAGAGCCAGGCUGGCUUUGACCCACUCUGUGACUCUCUGCCAGUCAGGCACUGAGGGAGGGCACAUGGCAAGGAACAAGCAUAAGUGAUCUUGGGGAAGGCACACAUGGGAAAAACACACAAAAACUUGUCAGCUGUAAGUCCUGACACUGCAGAUGCCCUGGAGACAAGCACUCAGGCUUCAGAGGGAAGGCCAGGUGGUAGUAGGGAAAUGAACUUCAGUGCCCACCAACCUCCAUCUCCUAGGGGGCCCUGGAAUGUUUGACAGCUACUGGUGAUGCAGAUGUGAAAUCCCCUUGUUGAAGGAUGCCUCUGCCAGGAUGGAUUGGGGCAGGGAGGGCCAGGGCGAGGAUAAACAUCUGGACACCUGCUAGGGUUGCUGCAAGAAUUCCACAUCUGGGGGGCUGGAAAGAUGGCUUCAGCAAUAAAGAACACUGAUUGAUUGCUCUUA